RNAcentral lists this ribosomal RNA (253 nucleotides) under uncultured bacterium. Its description in RNAcentral is "partial 16S ribosomal RNA". It matches the Rfam family "Bacterial small subunit ribosomal RNA", at positions 524 to 776 of the family's 1533-position model. The record is from RNAcentral.
UACGUAGGGUGCAAGCGUUGUCCGGAAUUAUUGGGCGUAAAGAGCUCGUAGGCGGUUUGUCGCGUCUGCUGUGAAAACUCGGGGCUUAACUCCGGGCCUGCAGUGGGUACGGGCAGACUAGAGUGCGGUAGGGGAGACUGGAAUUCCUGGUGUAGCGGUGAAAUGCGCAGAUAUCAGGAGGAACACCGGUGGCGAAGGCGGGUCUCUGGGACGGUACUGACGCUGAGACGCGAAAGCGUGGGGAGCAAACAGG